Molecule: ribosomal RNA, 810 nt
Filed under: Chryseobacterium sp. GUAF 6025
Lineage: Bacteria; Pseudomonadati; Bacteroidota; Flavobacteriia; Flavobacteriales; Weeksellaceae
Description: bacterial SSU rRNA
Rfam family: Bacterial small subunit ribosomal RNA
Source: RNAcentral
UCAGGAUGAACGCUAGCGGGAGGCCUAACACAUGCAAGCCGAGCGGUAUUUAUUCUUCGGAAUAGAGAGAGCGGCGUACGGGUGCGGAACACGUGUGCAACCUGCCUUUAUCAGGGGGAUAGCCUUUCGAAAGGAAGAUUAAUACCCCAUAAUAUUUAGGAUGGCAUCAUUUUAAAUUGAAAACUACGGUGGAUAAAGAUGGGCACGCGCAAGAUUAGAUAGUUGGUGAGGUAACGGCUCACCAAGUCAGUGAUCUUUAGGGGGCCUGAGAGGGUGAUCCCCCACACUGGUACUGAGACACGGACCAGACUCCUACGGGAGGCAGCAGUGAGGAAUAUUGGACAAUGGGUGAGAGCCUGAUCCAGCCAUCCCGCGUGAAGGACGACGGCCCUAUGGGUUGUAAACUUCUUUUGUAUAGGGAUAAACCUAGAUACGUGUAUCUAGCUGAAGGUACUAUACGAAUAAGCACCGGCUAACUCCGUGCCAGCAGCCGCGGUAAUACGGAGGGUGCAAGCGUUAUCCGGAUUUAUUGGGUUUAAAGGGUCCGUAGGCGGAUCAGUAAGUCAGUGGUGAAAUCUCAUAGCUCAACUAUGAAACUGCCAUUGAUACUGCUGGUCUUGAGUAAGGUAGAAGUAGCUGGAAUAAGUAGUGUAGCGGUGAAAUGCAUAGAUAUUACUUAGAACACCAAUUGCGAAGGCAGGUUACUAUGUCUUAACUGACGCUGAUGGACGAAAGCGUGGGGAGCGAACAGGAUUAGAUACCCUGGUAGUCCACGCUGUAAACGAUGCUAACUCGUUUUUGGGCUUUAUG